RNAcentral lists this ribosomal RNA (436 nucleotides) under Enterobacter hormaechei. Its description in RNAcentral is "partial 23S ribosomal RNA". It matches the Rfam family "Bacterial large subunit ribosomal RNA", at positions 1445 to 1865 of the family's 2925-position model. Lineage: Bacteria; Pseudomonadati; Pseudomonadota; Gammaproteobacteria; Enterobacterales; Enterobacteriaceae. The record is from RNAcentral.
UUGGUGUUACUGCGAAGGGGGGACGGAGAAGGCUAUGUCAGCCGGGCGACGGUUGUCCCGGUUUAAGCAUGUAGGCGGAGGUUCCAGGUAAAUCCGGUACCUUUUAACGCUGAGGUGUGAUGACGAGGCACUACGGUGCUGAAGUGAUAAAUGCCCUGCUUCCAGGAAAAGCCUCUAAGCAUCAGGUAACACGAAAUCGUACCCCAAACCGACACAGGUGGUCAGGUAGAGAAUACCAAGGCGCUUGAGAGAACUCGGGUGAAGGAACUAGGCAAAAUGGUGCCGUAACUUCGGGAGAAGGCACGCUGAUGUGUAGGUGAAGCCCCUGCGGGUGGAGCUGAAAUCAGUCGAAGAUACCAGCUGGCUGCAACUGUUUAUUAAAAACACAGCACUGUGCAAACACGAAAGUGGACGUAUACGGUGUGACGCCUGCCCG